Molecule: ribosomal RNA, 822 nt
Filed under: uncultured bacterium
Lineage: Bacteria
Description: bacterial SSU rRNA
Rfam family: Bacterial small subunit ribosomal RNA
Source: RNAcentral
CUGGGCGUAAAGCGUGCGCAGGCGGAUUGUUAAGCAAGAUGUGAAAUCCCCGGGCUUAACCUGGGAAUGGCAUUUUGAACUGGCAGUCUAGAGUGCGUCAGAGGGGGGUGGAAUUCCACGUGUAGCAGUGAAAUGCGUAGAGAUGUGGAGGAACACCAAUGGCGAAGGCAGCCCCCUGGGAUGACACUGACGCUCAUGUACGAAAGCGUGGGUAGCAAACAGGAUUGGAUACCCUGGUAGUCCACGCCCUAAACGAUGUCAGCUGGUUGUUGGGGGAGUGAAAUCCCUUAGUAACGAAGCUAACGCGUGAAGUUGACCGCCUGGGGAGUACGGUCGCAAGAUUAAAACUCAAAGGAAUUGACGGGGACCCGCACAAGCGGUGGAUGAUGUGGAUUAAUUCGAUGCAACGCGAAAAACCUUACCUACCCUUGACAUGUCCGGAACCCUGCAGAGAUGCGGGAGUGCUCGAAAGAGAACCGGAACACAGGUGCUGCAUGGCUGUCGUCAGCUCGUGUCGUGAGAUGUUGGGUUAAGUCCCGCAACGAGCGCAACCCUUAUCAUUAGUUGCUACGCAAGGGCACUCUAAUGAGACUGCCGGUGACAAACCGGAGGAAGGUGGGGAUGACGUCAAGUCCUCAUGGCCCUUAUGGGUAGGGCUUCACACGUCAUACAAUGGUCGGUACAGAGGGUUGCCAAGCCGCGAGGUGGAGCCAAUCCCAGAAAGCCGAUCGUAGUCCGGAUUGUUCUCUGCAACUCGAGAGCAUGAAGUCGGAAUCGCUAGUAAUCGCGGAUCAGCAUGUCGCGGUGAGUACGUUCCCGGGU